This 895-nucleotide ribosomal RNA is filed under the name uncultured archaeon. Its description in RNAcentral is "bacterial SSU rRNA". It matches the Rfam family "Archaeal small subunit ribosomal RNA", at positions 20 to 921 of the family's 1478-position model. The record is from RNAcentral.
GAGGUUACUGCUAUCGAGGUUCGACUAAGCCAUGCGAGUCGAAUGUAGCAAUACAUGGCGUACUGCUCAGUAACACGUGGAUUACCUACCCUUGAGACGGGGAUAAACCCGGGAAACUGGGUAUAAUACCCGAUAGAUCUCGACUGCUGGAAUGCAUCGAGCUUUAAAGCUCCGGCGCUCAAGGAUGGAUCUGCGGCCUAUCAGGUAGUAGUGGGUGUAGCGUACCUACUAGCCUACGACGGGUACGGGUUGUGAGAGCAAGAGCCCGGAGAUGGAUUCUGAGACACGAAUCCAGGCCCUACGGGGUGCAGCAGGCGCGAAAACUUUACAAUGCUGGAAACAGCGAUAAGGGGACCUCGAGUGCCAGGUUACAAAUCUGGCUGUCGUGAUGCCUAAAAAGCAUUGCAUAGCAAGGGCCGGGCAAGACCGGUGCCAGCCGCCGCGGUAACACCGGCGGCUCGAGUGGUAACCGUUAUUAUUGGGUCUAAAGGGUCUGUAGCCGGCCGGAUAAGUCUCUUGGGAAAUCUGGCAGCUUAACUGUCAGGCUUUCAGGGGAUACUGUCUGGCUCGAGGCCGGGAGAGGUGAGAGGUACUUCAGGGGUAGGGGUGAAAUCUUGUAAUCCUCGAAGGACCACCAGUGGCGAAGGCGUCUCACCACAACGGACCUGACGGCAAGGGACGAAAGCUAGAGGCACGAACCGGAUUAGAUACCCGGGUAGUCCUAGCCGUAAACGAUACUCGCUAGGUGUCGGCCACGGUGCGACCGUUGUCGGUGCCGUACGGAAGCCGUGAAGCGAGCCACCUGGGAAGUACGGCCGCAAGGCUGAAACUUAAAGGAAUUGGCGGGGAGCACCACAACGCGUGGAGCUUGCGGUUUAAUUGGAUACAACGCCGG